CAGAGUUGAUCAUGGCUCAGGAUGAACGCUAGCUACAGGCUUAACACAUGCAAGUCGAGGGGAAACGACAUCGAAAGCUUGCUUUUGAUGGGCGUCGACCGGCGCACGGGUGAGUAACGCGUAUCCAACCUGCCCAUCACUUGGGGAUAACCUUGCGAAAGUAAGACUAAUACCCAAUGACGUCUCUAGAAGACAUCUGAAAGAGAUUAAAGAUUUAUCGGUGAUGGAUGGGGAUGCGUCUGAUUAGCUUGUUGGCGGGGUAACGGCCACCAAGGCGACGAUCAGUAGGGGUUCUGAGAGGAAGGUCCCCCANAUUGGAACUGAGACACGGUCCAAACUCCUACGGGAGGCA
Molecule: ribosomal RNA, 352 nt
Filed under: uncultured bacterium
Lineage: Bacteria
Description: bacterial SSU rRNA
Rfam family: Bacterial small subunit ribosomal RNA
Source: RNAcentral